AAUGAACGCUGGCGGCAGGCCUAACACAUGCAAGUCGAACGGACCCUUCGGGAUUAGUGGCGGACGGGUGAGUAACGCGUGGGAGCAUACCCAAAGGUACGGAAUAGCCUCGGGAAACUGGGGGUAAUACCGUAUGUGCUCGAAAGAGGAAAGAUUUAUCGCCUUUGGAUUGGCCCGCGUUGGAUUAGGUAGUUGGUGGGGUAAUGGCCUACCAAGCCGACGAUCCAUAGCUGGUUUGAGAGGAUGAUCAGCCACACUGGGACUGAGACACGGCCCAGACUCCUACGGGAGGCAGCAGUGGGGAAUCUUAGACAAUGGGGGAAACCCUGAUCUAGCCAUGCCGCGUGAUCGAUGAAGGCCUUAGGGUUGUAAAGAUCUUUCAGGUGGGAAGAUAAUGACUGUACCACCAGAAGAAGCCCCGGCUAACUCCGUGCCAGCCGCCGCGGUAA
This 449-nucleotide ribosomal RNA is filed under the name uncultured bacterium. Its description in RNAcentral is "partial 16S ribosomal RNA". It matches the Rfam family "Bacterial small subunit ribosomal RNA", at positions 29 to 523 of the family's 1533-position model. The record is from RNAcentral.